Non-coding RNA from Castor canadensis (American beaver), 72 nucleotides. The record is from the annotation of a RefSeq genome assembly. Lineage: Eukaryota; Metazoa; Chordata; Mammalia; Rodentia; Castoridae.
GGCAGUGUGGCUCAAGUGGUAGAGCAUCUGCCUAGUAAGCACAAGGCCUAAGUUCAAACCCCAGUACUGCCA